UGGGGAAUUUUGGACAAUGGGCGAAAGCCUGAUCCAGCAAUGCCGCGUGUGUGAAGAAGGCCUUCGGGUUGUAAAGCACUUUUGUCCGGAAAGAAAUCCUUGGCUCUAAUACAGUCGGGGGAUGACGGUACCGGAAGAAUAAGCACCGGCUAACUACGUGCCAGCAGCCGCGGUAAUACGUAGGGUGCAAGCGUUAAUCGGAAUUACUGGGCGUAAAGCGUGCGCAGGCGGUUUGCUAAGACCGAUGUGAAAUCCCCGGGCUCAACCUGGGAACUGCAUUGGUGACUGGCAGGCUAGAGUAUGGCAGAGGGGGGUAGAAUUCCACGUGUAGCAGUGAAAUGCGUAGAGAUGUGGAGGAAUACCGAUGGCGAAGGCAGCCCCCUGGCCAAUACUGACGCUCAUGCACGAAAAGCGUGGGGAGCAAAACAGGAUUAGAUACCCUGGUAGUCCCACGCCCUAAAACGAUGUCAACUAGUUGUUGGGGAUUCAUUUCCUUAGUAACGUAGCUAACGCGUGAAGUUGACCGCCUGGGGAGUACGGUCGCAAAGAUUAAAACUUAAAGGAAUUGACGGGGUCAUAGCUG
This 583-nucleotide ribosomal RNA is filed under the name uncultured bacterium. RNAcentral describes it as "partial 16S ribosomal RNA". It matches the Rfam family "Bacterial small subunit ribosomal RNA", at positions 355 to 932 of the family's 1533-position model. The record is from RNAcentral.